Molecule: ribosomal RNA, 452 nt
Filed under: uncultured bacterium
Lineage: Bacteria
Description: bacterial SSU rRNA
Rfam family: Bacterial small subunit ribosomal RNA
Source: RNAcentral
AACGAACGCUGGCGGCAGGCCUAACACAUGCAAGUCGAGCGGGGACUUCGGUCCUAGCGGCGGACGGGUUAGUAACGCGUGGGAAUAUGCCCAAAGGUACGGAAUAGCCUCUGGAAACGGAGAGUAAUACCGUAUGUGCCCUUCGGGGGAAAGAUUUAUCGCCUUUGGAUUAGCCCGCGUUGGAUUAGGUAGUUGGUGGGGUAACGGCCUACCAAGCCUACGAUCCAUAGCUGGUUUGAGAGGAUGAUCAGCAACACUGGGACUGAGACACGGCCCAGACUCCUACGGGAGGCAGCAGUGGGGAAUCUUCGGCAAUGGGCGCAAGCCUGACCGAGCCAUGCCGCGUGAGCGAUGAAGGCCUUAGGGUUGUAAAGCUCUUUCGCCAGGGAUGAUAAUGACAGUACCUGGUAAAGAAACCCCGGCUAACUCCGUGCCAGCCGCCGCCGUAACAC